RNAcentral lists this ribosomal RNA (447 nucleotides) under uncultured Klebsormidium sp. RNAcentral describes it as "bacterial SSU rRNA". It matches the Rfam family "Bacterial small subunit ribosomal RNA", at positions 344 to 795 of the family's 1533-position model. The record is from RNAcentral. Lineage: Eukaryota; Viridiplantae; Streptophyta; Klebsormidiophyceae; Klebsormidiales; Klebsormidiaceae.
GGAGGCAGCAGUGGGGAAUUUUCCGCAAUGGGCGAAAGCCUGACGGGGCAAUGCCGCGUGGAGGAUGAAGGCCCAAUGGGUCGUAAACUUCUUUAGAUCAGAGACGAGGAGAUGACGGUACCUGAAGAACUAAGCAUCGGCUAAACCCCGUGCCAGCAGCCGCGGUAAGACGGGGGAUGCAAGCGUUAUCCGGAAUGAUUGGGCGUAAAGGGUCCGCAGGUGGCCCGGUCAGUCCGCUGUCAAAGCCUGGGGCUCAACCCUGGAGAGGCGGCGGAGACCACCGGGCUUGAGUCCGGUAGGGGCAGAGGGAAUUCCCGGUGGAGCGGUGAAAUGCGUAGAGAUCGGGAAGAACGCCAAGGGCGAAGGCACUCUGCUAGGCCUGAUUUCGCGACUGACACUCAGGGACGAGAGCCAGGGGAGCGAAUGGGAUUAGAUACACCAGUAGUC